Molecule: small nucleolar RNA, 135 nt
Organism: Pan paniscus (pygmy chimpanzee)
Lineage: Eukaryota; Metazoa; Chordata; Mammalia; Primates; Hominidae
Gene: SNORA70
Rfam family: Small nucleolar RNA SNORA70
About the family: snoRNA U70 seems to be exclusive to mammals and is a member of the H/ACA class of snoRNA which contain H (ANANNA) and ACA box motifs.
Source: Ensembl
CUGCAGCCAAUUAAGCCGACCUAGUUUCUUUCCUCUUUGGGGCCUGAUGUUCAAUAGCUGCAAACAGCAGCUUCCUUGGUAGUGUAUGCAGCCUGUUUCUUGUAUGGGUUGCUCUAAGGGACCUUGGAGACAGCC